Molecule: ribosomal RNA, 387 nt
Filed under: Arcocellulus sp.
Lineage: Eukaryota; Bacillariophyta; Thalassiosirophyceae; Cymatosirales; Cymatosiraceae
Description: partial small subunit ribosomal RNA
Rfam family: Eukaryotic small subunit ribosomal RNA
Source: RNAcentral
AGCUCCAAUAGCGUAUAUUAAAGUUGUUGCAGUUAAAAAGCUCGUAGUUGGAAUUCUGGUGGGAGCGAUCGGUCUGGCGCUUAGCGCGAGUACUUGCAUCGUCUCCGGCCAUCCUUGGGGAGAGUUUGUCUGGCAUUAAGUUGUCGGGCAGAGGAUCCUCAUCGUUUACUGUGAAAAAAUUAGAGUGUUCAAAGCAGGCUUAUGCCGUUGAAUAUAUUAGCAUGGAAUAAUAAGAUAGGACUUUGGUACUAUUUUGUUGGUUUGCGCACCAAAGUAAUGAUUAAUAGGGACAGUUGGGGGUAUUCGUAUUCCGUUGUCAGAGGUGAAAUUCUUGGAUUUACGGAAGACGAACUACUGCGAAAGCAUUUACCAAGGAUGUUUUCAUUA